RNAcentral lists this long non-coding RNA (333 nucleotides) under Elaeis guineensis (African oil palm). RNAcentral describes it as "long non-coding RNA (EGUI_LNC031488)". The record is from RNAcentral. Lineage: Eukaryota; Viridiplantae; Streptophyta; Magnoliopsida; Arecales; Arecaceae.
CCCCCCUUUCUCUGGUUAGAUCUCUCUCCCGCAUUCUCCAGUCUCUUCCUACUUCCUCUUGAUCUAUCUCUUUAUCUCCUCCCUCCCAAUCUCUCUCUCCCUCCCAAUCUCUCUCUCCGAAGCUCAGACCUAAUCAGGGCUGGUCCAAUAAGUAUUCGAGUAAGCUCAUAUUCAGCAUCUAAUCUUAUAUAUAUAAAUUAAAAUGAAGAUUUUUAUGUCAGCAAAGCCUCAUCGGUAUAGAUCUCCAUUCACCAUAUAAAACUACAUUUUUAUAGCAGCAAGGGAAUAUAAAGGACCUCUCAUUUAUUAGGAGAAUAUAAAACAUCCUAAGCU